Molecule: long non-coding RNA, 676 nt
Filed under: Heterocephalus glaber (naked mole-rat)
Lineage: Eukaryota; Metazoa; Chordata; Mammalia; Rodentia; Bathyergidae
Description: lncRNA (ENSHGLG00100025743.2)
Source: RNAcentral
CCACUGAGCUAAGUCCCCAGCCCUACAGUCCUUAUUUUCUAAGGUCAGCAGGUUAGAAUGACCUCUUCUUGAGAUGAGAGUCCUGGGACACACAUAAGAGCUGAGAGCCCAAAGAGCACUGUGGGCCAUCAGCCGGCUCCUAGGCAUUGGUGGGGAGGAGAAGGCAUCUUGUGCCAUGACUGUCACAAUGACCUGGUAGUCUUGUGAGAGACAAGAUAGAAUGGAUGAAACAACAGCAGAACAAUGUUAAUUGAAGAUAAUCAGCAGUGAUGUCAUGCUGUAAAUCAGUCCUUGAAGUCAUGACCCACAUGUCUAAAAAUAGAUGUCAGGAAUGGAAUGGACACUCAGGUAACACCAUAAGAAUGACCUUUAGCCACCUGCCUUACCCACCUGGAAGAGAACCUGAGAUGUUCUCCCAAAAAAACCCUUUGAGAUGCAAGGAAAAGAAGGAAAGAGAGUUACUUCCACUAAAAAGCUGUCAGAGAGAAAUAAGUGACAAUGGAAUGAGGUUUUAAUCUUACUUCCAAGCUAUUAUGCAUAACAAUGUCUAAUUCUAAUCUUUUUUGUAAAAUGAGUAAUAAUUUAGAUGCACUAAUGUCAAUAUUUAAUUACCCAUGAGUCCAAAAUAAUUUGUUCCUUUACUAAUGUAAAAUUUCUGCCAUUAGGAAGAAAAACC